RNAcentral lists this long non-coding RNA (1061 nucleotides) under Rattus norvegicus (Norway rat). Its description in RNAcentral is "long non-coding RNA NONRATT005180". Lineage: Eukaryota; Metazoa; Chordata; Mammalia; Rodentia; Muridae. The record is from RNAcentral.
ACGAAAGCAUGUGGGAACUGGAGGUGGAAGACUUACACAGGAACAUCCCUUAGAGCUGGGACCCUCUAAGAAGAGCUCCCCCUAAAGGAAUCUACGCCCAGCUGGGUCUCAGGAACAGCAUGAAAGUUUCUUGAAGACAUUUGCUUUGGUUGAGUCAGACGUCUGGACCCUGGGAGCUGGAGCUUCAGUUGUCUCAGCCACCACUCCCUGCCCGUGCUUUGCUUGCAUGAGAAGCAGAUGUCCCCCCCUUUGUCCCUAACGUGUGUUCCUUUCUCUCGCUGAAGCACAUGGAAAAUUCCUGUCGUCAUUUCCUGAUUCUGCGAGGGAUGACACUUUCUCCUUGACUGCACCUCUGAAUUUCAGUCGUUGCCAGUGGGUUAAAAUUAUGGACAUAAGGACAGAAUGGCAUGGUGGCCUGCCUUCCAUCACCAGCCAUUGCCAUCUUGUAGGGCAGGUGCCAACCUCUUGCUGACAGCUUUCUCUCUCUGCUUCGAUGUGCUUUUUCCUCAUUGUCUGUGUCCUUAGACUCUGAAGCUGAGGCCACCUGUUGAGAAUGGUCAGAAUCCUCACAAUGCUCCGUUGAACUUAAAAAUCCAAGAUGGAGACAGACUUUUCAAACACUUCUCCUUCAAAACUAUUGUGGAGAGACAGCCAGGGUGGGACUAGUCUGCAGGCUUAGAGUCCUGACCUCCUUUCUGUAUGAAAUGCCUUUCUAUUGGGAUUGUGUCAGUGUUGGGUUUGACUUUCUGCUGAUGACCCAGGCUAGGUUCAUAUUUGGAUGACAAAAACCAAGCAGCCCACCUUACUACAGUAUGGCAGAAUUUUUCUAGUAACAUUUCUGCAUGGUGUGUUUUUAAAAGUAAGCUCUAUUAUCUGUCUGUCCUAAAGACAGGGCCUUCAGGUGUCUCCCGCUCGUGACCCUCUCCCCUCCACUCCAGACUGUUGAGAUUACUGGUGUGCACUACUAUGUCUGCAGUGCUGGGGAUGGAACCCAGGGCUUCCUGCAGGCUAAGCAAACACUAUUACUGAGCCACGUUUCCAGCAUAAAAUGUUGAUUUAUU